AUCUCUUCUCAUUCUUCCAGGGAAGACCAAGUGUAGGAUCUGUUCCUGCAAGUUUAACAUGCCCAUGUCCAUAUGAGGACAACAUAACAAAUGAAUUUAUGAAGUCAGGAGAUGGAACAGGAGCUUGCUCCAUCCACUCCAUGCAUUGACUCAGCAUUGUAGCGCUUCCAAGAAUGGGAGUUCUCUUU
This is a small nuclear RNA of Antechinus flavipes (yellow-footed antechinus), 188 nucleotides long. RefSeq annotates it as U2 spliceosomal RNA. The record is from RefSeq and is a predicted model, not a curated record. The transcript has a single exon. Lineage: Eukaryota; Metazoa; Chordata; Mammalia; Dasyuromorphia; Dasyuridae.